RNAcentral lists this microRNA (23 nucleotides) under Strongyloides ratti. RNAcentral's name for it is "str-bantam-5p". Its record names the gene str-bantam-5p. The record is from miRBase by way of RNAcentral. Lineage: Eukaryota; Metazoa; Nematoda; Chromadorea; Rhabditida; Strongyloididae.
UGUGAUUUCAAAUGGACUCCAGA